AGAGUUUGAUCCUGGCUCAGGAUGAACGCUAGCUACAGGCUUAACACAUGCAAGUCGAGGGGCAUCGGGAUUGAAGCUUGCUUCAAUUGCCGGCGACCGGCGCACGGGUGAGUAACGCGUAUCCAACCUUCCGUACACUCAGGGAUAGCCUUUCGAAAGAAAGAUUAAUACCUGAUGGUAUGAUGAGAUUGCAUGAUAGCAUCAUUAAAGAUUUAUCGGUGUACGAUGGGGAUGCGUUCCAUUAGGUAGUAGGCGGGGUAACGGCCCACCUAGCCAACGAUGGAUAGGGGUUCUGAGAGGAAGGUCCCCCACAUUGGAACUGAGACACGGUCCAAACUCCUACGGGAGGCAGCAGUGAGGAAUAUUGGUCAAUGGACGAGAGUCUGAACCAGCCAAGUAGCGUGAAGGAUGAAGGUCCUACGGAUUGUAAACUUCUUUUAUAAGGGAAUAAAACCUCCCACGUGUGGGAGCUUGUAUGUACCUUAUGAAUAAGCAUCGGCUAACUCCGUGCCAGCAGCCGCGGUAAUACGGAGGAUCCGAGCGUUAUCCGGAUUUAUUGGGUUUAAAGGGAGCGUAGAUGGGUUGUUAAGUCAGUUGUGAAAGUUUGCGGCUCAACCGUAAAAUUGCAAUUGAUACUGGCAGUCUUGAGUACAGUUGAGGUAGGCGGAAUUCGUGGUGUAGCGGUGAAAUGCUUAGAUAUCACGAAGAACUCCGAUUGCGAAGGCAGCUUACUAACCUGUAACUGACAUUGAUGCUCGAAAGUGUGGGUAUCAAACAGGAUUAGAUACCCUGGUAGUCCACACGGUAAACGAUGAAAACGCGCUGUAGGCGAAUAUACGGUCUGCGGCCAAGCGAAAGCAUUAAGUAUUCCACCUGGGGAGUACGCCGGCAACGGUGAAACUCAAAGGAAUUGACGGGGGCCCGCACAAGCGGAGGAACAUGUGGUUUAAUUCGAUGAUACGCGAGGAACCUUACCCGGGCUUAAAUUGCAAAGGAAUAAUCUGGAAACAGAUUAGUCUUC
Molecule: ribosomal RNA, 1021 nt
Filed under: uncultured bacterium
Lineage: Bacteria
Description: bacterial SSU rRNA
Rfam family: Bacterial small subunit ribosomal RNA
Source: RNAcentral